Molecule: ribosomal RNA, 393 nt
Filed under: uncultured bacterium
Lineage: Bacteria
Description: partial 16S ribosomal RNA
Rfam family: Bacterial small subunit ribosomal RNA
Source: RNAcentral
CCUACGUGUGGCAGCAGUGAGGAAUAUUGGUCAAUGGGCGGGAGCCUGAACCAGCCAAGUCGCGUGAAGGAAGAAGGUCCUUAGGAUUGUAAACUUCUUUUGUCAGGGAACAAAGUCGGAACCGCGUGCCCGUAUGAGUGUACUCUAAGACAAAGCAUCGGCUAACUCCGUGCCAGCAGCCGCGGUACUACGGAGUAUGGGAGCGUUAUCCGGAUUUAUUGGGUUUAAGGGGUGCGCAGGCGGUAGAUCAAGUCAGCGGUAAAAUGGUGGGGCGCACCGUAGGCGGGCAGUUGAAACUGUUUGUCUAGAGUUGGAUAGAGGUAGGCGGAAUGCGUGGUGUAGCGGUGAAAUGCAUAGAUAUCACGAAGAACUCCGAUUGCGAAGGCAGCAUAC